GCACUCUCACAUAUAACCUUUGGGUUAAAAUGUGGAAUUGGGAUGCGCCGGUUAUUAUAACGGCCCUUAAAUUCAGUUCUUGGCUGCUUCCUACUACAGCAGUUUGGCCUAAUAGUUUUGAGUCUUCGAUUCAAAUCUUUGGCUAACAUUUGCUUCAGGAUGUCAGUCUUGAUAUACAGAAAUCUCAUUCAAA
This 193-nucleotide unclassified non-coding RNA is filed under the name uncultured fungus. RNAcentral's name for it is "sequence contains ITS2". The record is from RNAcentral. Lineage: Eukaryota; Fungi.